UGGGGAAUUUUGGACAAUGGGCGAAAAGCCUGAUCCAGCAAUGCCGCGUGUGUGAAGAAGGCCUUCGGGUUGUAAAGCACUUUUGUCCGGAAAGAAAUCCUUGGCUCUAAUACAGUCGGGGGAUGACGGUACCGGAAGAAUAAGCACCGGCUAACUACGUGCCAGCAGCCGCGGUAAUACGUAGGGUGCAAGCGUUAAUCGGAAUUACUGGGCGUAAAGCGUGCGCAGGCGGUUUGCUAAGACCGAUGUGAAAUCCCCGGGCUCAACCUGGGAACUGCAUUGGUGACUGGCAGGCUAGAGUAUGGCAGAGGGGGGUAGAAUUCCACGUGUAGCAGUGAAAUGCGUAGAGAUGUGGAGGAAUACCGAUGGCGAAGGCAGCCCCCUGGGCCAAUACUGACGCUCAUGCACGAAAGCGUGGGGAGCAAAACAGGAUUAGAUACCCUGGUAGUCCACGCCCUAAACGAUGUCAACUAGUUGUUGGGGAUUCAUUUCCUUAGUAACGUAGCUAACGCGUGAAGUUGACCGCCUGGGGAGUACGGUCGCAAGAUUAAAACUCAAAGGAAUUG
RNAcentral lists this ribosomal RNA (566 nucleotides) under uncultured bacterium. RNAcentral's name for it is "partial 16S ribosomal RNA". It matches the Rfam family "Bacterial small subunit ribosomal RNA", at positions 355 to 912 of the family's 1533-position model. The record is from RNAcentral.